Long non-coding RNA from Canis lupus familiaris (dog), 1328 nucleotides. RefSeq lists it as uncharacterized. The record is from RefSeq and is a predicted model, not a curated record. The transcript is spliced from 8 exons. Lineage: Eukaryota; Metazoa; Chordata; Mammalia; Carnivora; Canidae.
UGUAUGUGUCUUUAUGUGCCUGUGACCAUCCCGGGCCACUGUCCCUCAGGCAGAGCCAGCUGGCCCCAGGAGAAGAGGUCAUAGAGGCAGCCAUGGGGAGGCUGGGAUCUGUGGCUCCAGUGAGUUGGAAGACAGUGGAGACUUUUCAGCAUUGAUAGAUCACAUCCCGUGUCCUCCAUCUGCGGCAUCCUGUGGCCAACCUAACCUCUCUGAACCCCAGCUUCCUGGCCUGGGAAAUGGAGCAACACUGGUUAAAGCACUCCCCGGAGGGACGCUCUGAGGACAGGAAGCACCUGGACAGGGUCUGCCCAGAGCUUCCAGCACACAUCGCUGCUGCCCAGCACUCAUGGAACCUUCUACUUCAAGAUGGAAUAUAGGAGCCCCCAUCAUCUGGCUCCAUGUGGAUGAAGACCUGCAUUUAUUGCCUUUACAGUCAUGUGCUCCCUGGACAGUGAGAUGAGUGCUCCACCAAGAGACAGAGUCAGCGCAGGCAGGUGCAACUUGGCCCUUGAACGGUGGAUUCCCGAUGGCAGGAUCUUGGACUUUUCUACUUUCUCUGGAGAGCAAGACAGGGAGAGCCAGCUUAACCAUGGCCUGGAGAGGUGAUCUGCCAGGAAGAAAGGGGGAGAGGCUGCCUAAGGAUGAAGAGGGGCACACGCAUAUUCCCAAGAACAAACGUGAGAACUGUACAGCACCUGAACCGAGCACUCAGUGUCUGAAGCCAGAGGGGAAGAGUUUUGUACCUCCGAAGUGGGUGUCCCUGGUUCGCCCUGAGGCUCCUGAGUGAGUGAUGGGCAUCUUAAGAUGCAAAACCUCAUGAAGAAGAGUUCACAACCAGGUACGCCGCGAGAGGACCAGCUCUUUGGAGAUGAAAUGCAGCACAUGUUAAGUCAUGGGUUCAAGUCAAACAUGCUCUAACGGACACAUAGUGGAACCAAAGGCAUAGUUUAGCAGCAGGUCUUCCGGAAAACAAGCAACCAACACAAGCAAAACCCUGACUUGCUAAGACAGAAGGUGGGAGUGGGAGCAGCUUUGACAAGCCCUGUGGCAAAUACUGUGGCUAUUGCCAUUCACAGAUGAGGAAACCGAGACCCCAGGUUGGUCUGUCACCCCUCGGAGUCACACAUGUGGCAGGGAGAAGAACCCACAGACGCUGUUUGAACGAUGUGGCUACAAUCUCACAGUCUCCAGCCUCAGCUGCAUCCUUCAUAUUUCCUAGAUACGCCCAAUGACCUCUUUAGCUUCUCUUUCCCUGUAACAGAUGACAUCUCCCUCCCUCCUAGCAAAUGAUCUGAUCUCCUAGCUCAUAGAGAUGAUAGAAAUUGUCA